RNAcentral lists this long non-coding RNA (565 nucleotides) under Elaeis guineensis (African oil palm). RNAcentral's name for it is "long non-coding RNA (EGUI_LNC076843)". Lineage: Eukaryota; Viridiplantae; Streptophyta; Magnoliopsida; Arecales; Arecaceae. The record is from RNAcentral.
GCUGGGACAUCUGAUGGAGCGGGAUGGCUCUCUAUCCCGUCGAUCUGGGAGAACCUCGGAUAUCUUCGAGACUGCUAACGAGUCUACUGUUGUCCGAUACCUUAGGCACUGAUACUAUAGGUGGGAGUUAUCUGCUGUAGAAGCUCAGAUGGAGACUUUCCAUUGGUGAAGCCUGAUAGGAAUCUGAUUGCUAGAGAAGUCCGUCUGGGAUUCGCCUGAUGUGGAAGCUCGUCUGAAGAUGAUCCAUCGGAGAAGUUCAGUUUCAUGAAGGAUCUGGCGGAGGGUCGGUCGGCGAUGGACUUCAGAUGGCAUUGGGAAGGUUCGGCAGACGUCGGAGGCGAUCGAUCGUUGUAAGAAUCUAGCUGUCGGAGUCCAUCCGUCAUAGAAGCUCAUCCGAUUCCAUUCGCUAUGGAAGUUCGAUCGAGGUUUGGUUCUUGCAGAAGGCUGAAAGAAGACCGCUUAUUGUAGAAGCUCGAUUGAAGAUCGGUUGUCAUGGGAGCUAGGAGUAGCGAUCUGGCCGGUGGGUCUUGCCGCACUGUAGAAUCUCAUCUAAGAUCCGGCUACA